RNAcentral lists this long non-coding RNA (284 nucleotides) under Malus domestica (apple). RNAcentral's name for it is "long non-coding RNA (MDOM_LNC009562)". The record is from RNAcentral. Lineage: Eukaryota; Viridiplantae; Streptophyta; Magnoliopsida; Rosales; Rosaceae.
UUUGUUCAUGCCCUAACCUUUAGACUUGAUAGACCAGUGGCAGGCAUGCUACUUUUUUAUAAGCAGACAAGCUCGCGUAGCCUAUGCAGCCGUAGGUGUUGGUGUAGAACUUUGCAAAGUUGUUAGCCAUAGGGUUGGCAGCCGGAUACCUUACUUACAGAAGCAGACAAGUCCGCGUAACCACUAGGCUGUUAACCUUGACUUUCUUCAAUUCCGUAGGUUGCGUAGCAAGUAUCACAACACUUUAGGACUUGGUGUAGGUUGUUCCGCACUUGGCAGAGGUG